RNAcentral lists this long non-coding RNA (1281 nucleotides) under Cyanistes caeruleus (blue tit). Its description in RNAcentral is "lncRNA (ENSCCEG00000018481.1)". The record is from RNAcentral. Lineage: Eukaryota; Metazoa; Chordata; Aves; Passeriformes; Paridae.
AUGAUUUUUCUUCUAUUAUUCUUCUUAACCCAUUACUUCUCUAUCCCUUAUUUUAUUCUUCAGUCUGUUUUUUAUUCCUAUUCCAUUCUCAUUCUGUUCUAUUCUAUUUUCUCUCCUACUUUAUUUUAUUCUAAUCUCUUACUCUAUUUUCUAUUCUUAGUCUUGAUCUAUUUUUAUUCUUAUUCUCCUCUUAAUAUAUUCUAUUUCCUAUUCUUAUUCUUGAGCUUGUCUUGUUGUAGUCUAUAUUCAUUCUAUUCGAACUUUAAUUCUAUUCUGAUUUUAAUUUAUUAUUCUAUUCUAUUCUAUUCUAUUCUUUUUUCUCUUUUUUCUCUUUUUUCUAUCAUUUUUUCUCUCUUUUCUCUUUUUUCUUUUCUAUUCUUUUUUAUUUUUUCUCUUAUUUUUUUCUCUUUUUUCUCCUUUUUCUCUUAUUUUUUUAAUUCUUUUUCUCUUUUUUCCCUUAUUUUUUCUCUUCUUUUUUCUCUUUUUUUAACUCCUUUUUUCUCUUAUUUUUCUCUUUUUUCUCUCCUUUUUCUCUUUCCCAUAUCCUAUCCUAUCCUAUCCUAUCCCAUUUUAUUCCACUGUAUUUCCUGCCUCUGGCACAGCAGCCCAGGUGCAAUUUGGGGUCCCCCAGGGGUAUCUCCACAAAUCCAAUGGAAAACAUUCCAGGGAGAAGAGCUGGAGCUGGGAAAAAAACCCUCUAAAACCGCCCUGGAAGUGGGACAAAAACUGGAAAAAACCCCUCUAAAACCGCCCUGGAAGUGGGACAAAAACUGGAAAAGGAGCCUCACUUAAUCCAAUUAAUGCCAUAAAAAUCCGAAGUUGGGAUUACCUGGAAAAUUCUGAUUUUUAAAUGAAAAUGUGCCAAAAAAAGCAAAUAUUAAGGGAAUUAUUGCUGUGGUAAAAACCAGUCUGGGUGCUGGAGGGGCCAGGGUUGUUGGGUUUUAAAUCCAUCCCUGCUGGAUGCAGAAUUCCCAAGGUUUGUGGCUGGGAUUGAGGUACAAACACAAGCACCUGUCUGGAUUUAUUUAUUCUAGGAACUUCCUCGUGUUCAUAUUUCAUUUUUCUGGUGUGCUCAUUUUAUUUUAAUUAAUUAAUGAACAUCUGCAGCCGGCCCUUGCUUCUGCUCAUUAAAAAGAACUGUAAUUAAUGAGGAUUGAUUGAUUGAUCGAUUGCACAGCCGGUCUGUGUUCUCUCCUGCUGAAUUCCCGCUUGAAUUCUCCUGGAAAUUGUAAAUAUUUCCAUUAAAAUAAAAGAGGAAAUAAAAUAAAUGAAAGUGGUUUU